RNAcentral lists this small RNA (73 nucleotides) under Arabidopsis thaliana (thale cress). Its description in RNAcentral is "ATSL203980". Lineage: Eukaryota; Viridiplantae; Streptophyta; Magnoliopsida; Brassicales; Brassicaceae. The record is from RNAcentral.
AGAAAUAACUUAAGUACAUAUCAUAAACACAAAACUAAUACUGUUCUUCGCCUUCUUGUUCUUCAUCAUCAGA